This 864-nucleotide ribosomal RNA is filed under the name bacterium. RNAcentral describes it as "bacterial SSU rRNA". It matches the Rfam family "Bacterial small subunit ribosomal RNA", at positions 56 to 902 of the family's 1533-position model. The record is from RNAcentral.
UGCAAGUCGAGCGGACCGACGGGAGCUUGCUCCCUUAUGUCAGCGGCGGACGGGUGAGUAACACGUGGGUAACCUGCCUGUAAGACUGGGAUAACUCCGGGAAACCGGGGCUAAUACCGGAUGCUUGAUUGAACCGCAUGGUUCAAUCAUAAAAGGUGGCUUUUAGCUACCACUUGCAGAUGGACCCGCGGCGCAUUAGCUAGUUGGUGAGGUAACGGCUCACCAAGGCGACGAUGCGUAGCCGACCUGAGAGGGUGAUCGGCCACACUGGGACUGAGACACGGCCCAAACUCCUACGGGAGGCAGCAGUAGGGAAUCUUCCGCAAUGGACGAAACUCUGACGGACCAACGCCGCGUGAGUGAUGAAGGUUUUCGGAUCGUAAAACUCUGUUGUUAGGGAAGAACAAGUACCGUUCGAAUAGGGCGGCACCUUGACGGUACCUAACCAGAAACCACGGCUAACUACGUGCCAGAGCCGCGGUAAUACGUAGGUGGCAAGCGUUGUCCGGAAUUAUUGGGCGUAAAGCGCGCGCAGGCGGUUUCUUAAGUCUGAUGUGAAAGCCCCCGGCUCAACCGGGGAGGGGCAUUGGAAACUGGGGAACUUGAGUGCAGAAGAGGAGAGUGGAAUUCCACGUGUAGCGGUGAAAUGCGUAGAGAUGUGGAGGAACACCAGUGGCGAAGGCGACUCUCUGGUCUGUGACUGACGCUGAGGCGCGAAAGCGUGGGGAGCGAACAGGAUUAGAUACCCUGGUAGUCCACCCCGUAAACGAUGAGUGCUAAGUGUUAGAGCGUUUCCGCCCUUUAGUGCUGCAGCAAACGCACUAAGCACUCCGCCUGGGGAGUACGGUCGCUAGACUGAAACUC